RNAcentral lists this ribosomal RNA (460 nucleotides) under uncultured bacterium. RNAcentral describes it as "partial 16S ribosomal RNA". It matches the Rfam family "Bacterial small subunit ribosomal RNA", at positions 338 to 795 of the family's 1533-position model. The record is from RNAcentral.
CCUACGGGCGGCAGCAGUGAGGAAUAUUGGUCAAUGGGCGCUAGCCUGAACCAGCCAAGUCGCGUGAAGGAUGACUGCCCUAUGGGUUGUAAACUUCUUUUAUAUGGGAAUAAAGUGCAGUAUGUAUACUGCUUUGCAUGUACCUUAUGAAUAAGGAUCGGCUAACUCCGUGCCAGCAGCCGCGGUAAUACGGAGGAUCCGAGCGUUAUCCGGAUUUAUUGGGUUUAAAGGGAGCGUAGGCGGGUUGUUAAGUUAGUUGUGAAAGUUUGCGGCUCAACCGUAAAAUUGCAGUUGAUACUGGCAGCCUUGAGUACAGGAGAGGUAGGCGGAAUGCGUGGUGUAGCGGUGAAAUGCUUAGAUAUCACGAAGAACUCCGAUUGCGAAGGCAGCCUGCUGGACUGUAACUGACGCUGAUGCUCGAAAGUGUGGGUAUCAAACAGGAUUAGAUACCCUAGUAGUC